Molecule: small nuclear RNA, 292 nt
Filed under: Neotoma lepida (desert woodrat)
Lineage: Eukaryota; Metazoa; Chordata; Mammalia; Rodentia; Cricetidae
Description: 7SK RNA
Rfam family: 7SK RNA
About the family: 7SK was discovered as an abundant small nuclear RNA in the mid-70s but a possible function has only recently been suggested. Two independent studies have found that 7SK RNA binds the CDK9/cyclin T complex (known as elongation factor P-TEFb).
Source: Rfam by way of RNAcentral
AAACACUGUGUCCCCUGCUGUGCCAUCUGUCACUCCACUGAUCACUAGGGUUGAUUAGGCUGAUCUGGCUGGCUAGACAGGUAUUCCCUCCAUCUCUGUGCGCUCCAUCUGUGUCUUUCCAGAAGUUGUGCUGCUCAGCUGAAGAUGACCUUCCUUGACAGAGAACCGUUCUUCAGUGAUGGGUAUAUGAAGCAACUGUGUUCCCCUGCUGGAACCUCCAAAUGCGCGCUCAAGUCACAGCUUAGUAUUUCAGAGACAGUCGAGGUUCUUUUUUGCAAAGCAAUCCCAAAAU